RNAcentral lists this ribosomal RNA (271 nucleotides) under Citrobacter freundii. RNAcentral's name for it is "partial 16S ribosomal RNA". It matches the Rfam family "Bacterial small subunit ribosomal RNA", at positions 1062 to 1333 of the family's 1533-position model. Lineage: Bacteria; Pseudomonadati; Pseudomonadota; Gammaproteobacteria; Enterobacterales; Enterobacteriaceae. The record is from RNAcentral.
GUGUUGUGAAAUGUUGGGUUAAGUCCCGCAACGAGCGCAACCCUUAUCCUUUGUUGCCAGCGGUUAGGCCGGGAACUCAAAGGAGACUGCCAGUGAUAAACUGGAGGAAGGUGGGGAUGACGUCAAGUCAUCAUGGCCCUUACGAGUAGGGCUACACACGUGCUACAAUGGCGCAUACAAAGAGAAGCGACCUCGCGAGAGCAAGCGGACCUCAUAAAGUGCGUCGUAGUCCGGAUUGGAGUCUGCAACUCGACUCCAUGAAGUCGGAAUC